CCUACGGGGGGCAGCAGUGAGGAAUAUUGGUCAAUGGCCGGAAGGCUGAACCAGCCAUGCCGCGUGAAGGUCAGUGCCCUAUGGGCGUUAAACUUCUUUUGUGCGGGAGCAAUAAUGGUCACGUGUGGCCCGACGAGAGUACCCUACGAAUAAGCCUCGGCUAACUCCGUGCCAGCAGCCGCGGUAAUACGGGGGAUGCAAGCGUUAUCCGGAUUUAUUGGGGUUAAAGGGUGCGUAGGCUGUGAGGUAAGUCAGCGGUGAAAUGCCCCCGCUCAACGGGGUGAAGUGCCAUUGAUACUGCCUUGCUGGAAUGCGGAUGCCGUGGGAGGAAUGUGUGGUGUAGCGGUGAAAUGCAUAGAUAUCACACAGAACACCGAUUGCGAAGGCAUCUCACGAAUCCGCGAUUGACGCUGAUGCACGAAAGCGUGGGUAUCAAACAGGAUUAGAUACCCUUGUAGUC
Molecule: ribosomal RNA, 460 nt
Filed under: uncultured bacterium
Lineage: Bacteria
Description: partial 16S ribosomal RNA
Rfam family: Bacterial small subunit ribosomal RNA
Source: RNAcentral